CGGUGUUUAACUGGCGUGAUGUGGGACGUCCUACCGGUGGGCUUAGCCUCGCGAGGGGCGGCCCAACUAAUAUCCCGUCGCGGUGCUCUUUACUGAGUGUCGAGUCGGGCCGGUACGUUUACUUUGAACAAAUUAGAGUGCUUAAAGCAGGCUAUCCUCGCCUGAAUACUGCGUGCAUGGAAUAAUGGAAUAGGACCUCGGUUCUAUUUUGUUGGUUUUCGGAACCCCGAGGUAAUGAUUAAUAGGGACAGAUGGGGGCAUUCGUAUUGCGACGUUAGAGGUGAAAUUCUUGGAUCGUCGCAAGACGGACAGAAGCGAAAGCAUUUGCCAAAAAUGUUUUCAUUAAUCAAGAACGAAAGUUAGAGGUUCGAAGGCGAUCAGAUACCGCCCUAGUUCUAACCAUAAACGAUGCCAGCUAGCGAUCCGCCGAAGUUCCUCCGAUGACUCGGCGGGCAGCUUCCGGGAAACCAAAGCUUUUGGGUUCCGGGGGAAGUAUGGUUGCAAAGCUGAAACUUAAAGGAAUUGACGGAAGGGCACCACCAGGAGUGGAGCCUGCGGCUUAAUUUGACUCAACACGGGAAACUUCACCAGGCCCAGACACCGGAAGGAUUGACAGAUUGAUAGCUCUUUCUUGAUUCGGUGGGUGGUGGUGCAUGGCCGUUCUUAGUUGGUGGAGCGAUUUGUCUGGUUAAUUCCGAUAACGAACGAGACUCUAGCCUGCUAAAUAGGCGUACCUUAUGGUAUCGCGAAGGCCCCCGGCUUCGGCCGGUGGGUUUUUACUACCAACGUACAAACAAAUCUUCUUAGAGGGACAGGCGG
RNAcentral lists this ribosomal RNA (819 nucleotides) under uncultured eukaryote. Its description in RNAcentral is "SSU rRNA". It matches the Rfam family "Eukaryotic small subunit ribosomal RNA", at positions 629 to 1426 of the family's 1831-position model. The record is from RNAcentral.